UAGCUGUAGUCUAGUUGGUUAGGAUAUUAGUUUAUAAUUUAAGAGACUUAGGUUUGAAUCCUAAUAUCAACUAA
This 74-nucleotide transfer RNA is filed under the name Zingiber officinale. RNAcentral's name for it is "tRNA-Tyr". It matches the Rfam family "tRNA". Rfam says of the family: Transfer RNA (tRNA) molecules are approximately 80 nucleotides in length. Their secondary structure includes four short double-helical elements and three loops (D, anti-codon, and T loops). Further hydrogen bonds mediate the characteristic L-shaped molecular structure. tRNAs have two regions of fundamental functional importance: the anti-codon, which is responsible for specific mRNA codon recognition, and the 3' end, to which the tRNAs corresponding amino acid is attached (by aminoacyl-tRNA synthetases). tRNAs cope with the degeneracy of the genetic code in two manners: having more than one tRNA (with a specific anti-codon) for a particular amino acid; and 'wobble' base-pairing, i.e. permitting non-standard base-pairing at the 3rd anti-codon position. The record is from RNAcentral. Lineage: Eukaryota; Viridiplantae; Streptophyta; Magnoliopsida; Zingiberales; Zingiberaceae.